GCCUAUCAGAGGUCUUCUAAAGCAAAUGCAUGGCCUGGUAGAAUCCCCUUGUCUAUUGGGUCCAUUCUGCCUGUCAGCAAUUUAGUGUUCUUUCAGAGGAAUCAGAAUCUGAAUAUUAGUCAGCACUGUACAAAAUAGAGAUACUGUCAAGGCCGUUGUUCACUUGCAGCACUGCAGCACUGGCAGAUAUAACCAAGACGAAUGUUGCUCUGACUGAACUUGACUGGAGCAAUGCAGUUAAUGGUGACCCCAAGAGUUUAUUGGGUGUGCCAGUGUCGAUGUAUUUUCUCAGAGCAUGAGCACUUCAAUCCAUCAGAACGGUAGCCUGAAUCUAAUGGCAGCAGAAGGAUAUUUUCAACGACUGGAGCCUGAUAUUUUUUUUUUUCCUGGCUGAGGACUAGAAUUCCUUGAAAAAAACAAGUGAAAUACAUCAAUCUUCUGCUUCUGCUCUCUUGCAGUAACAGAGGAGCUCCAUGAUGGCCUUACUGCCUCUGAUCUUCUCCUGUCCUCCCGCUUUUCUCUCUCUUGCUUUCUGAAAACACACUGUUUAUUCCAUGUUAGCUGGUAAAGAGCCAUCUGUGCCUGGUCACCUACUAACAAUGAGAGCUGAAUGCUCAGGCUCUUAAUGCUGUUUCAGCUUUCCUCUGCCUUGAUCUGUCUUGCCUAUGAAUGAAGUACUUCUGACUGGGAAACCAAAGAGUGUAUGCACCUGAUUCAAAACCUGUGUUUUGUGUCUGAAGGAUACAAGAUAUACUAAGAAUAUCAAGUCACAUACUUGAUAUUAUGUAAGUAGCAUGCCAUAUAUCCACUGGACAACGUGUAUCCUGACACUAAUAUUCCAAUAUUAUAACUAAGUACUCUGCAGUGAUAUUCAUGUACUCAGAGUGUCAAUAUUUUAUUUGCUACAUAGUUCAGACAUUGGAAGGACUCAAAUAGUUGCUGGAUUGUGUAUAAUUCUGCACGUAAGCACUGUUCCAAGCGCCUAUUAAAAAAAAUGAAUAGAUUCAAAAUCAGAUAUCUUCAACUUAUCAAAAACUUCUGAAAAAUAUCUGAGAUAGAAUAUAGAGAGGUAGUUUAGAAAUUGUUUAAAAGAAAAUGCAUUUUUGUCUUAAAUGUGUACAUCUACUGCCUGUGGCAUUAUUUUAUUGUUAGAGCUUCUGGAAGGUUGUGGUUAUGAGCCAUAAGAUUUACAGAAGAUGAUUAUUAGAGUGAGGAACUACUCAAGAGAUGAAUUAAAUGCAAAAUUAUUGGCACGAAAGGGAUCACCCAGGGCACUGCACGUAAACUGUCUAAGAGCAGGCUACCAAGCAGAAGAAAGCUGGUUAAGCCACUGUUCACACACGCAAGCAGCGUAAAACAUGUCCCACUUGCGACCGUGUAUGACUUGCAGGAAAUGAACAAAUGCCAGAAGAGUGUGAGAAAAAGAGGACAGAAGAGGCUGAGGAGCUGGGGUGGGCCAGGACUUUGCUGCAAAUCCCAACAAGUUGCUGCAGGCGCUGCUCUUUUCAGAAAUCAUUAGAAGAUUGGUUACAGCAAGCCAAAACUUCUGCAAAAAUUUAUCUCAAAUGGAUUGGAAGCCUUCAUGUGUCUGUUUGGAGCUGAUUUUAAUUCCAGCAAAGGGUUUGGUCUUGCAUUAACCUCAACAACCUGAUGCUGCAGAAAUCCGCUCAGACUCAAUGGGGAUGAAGUCUGCCAUUAGCGCUCUGCAAAAAGCACUUCUGCACUUCUUCCCCAUGCCUUAUAAAAAGGGUGAGAAUCAACAGUGUUGCAGCAUAUGUUUCCUGGAUGUACAGUAUUCCUUUCAUACUUGAAUAAUAAAACUGUAACAGGGCUUUUUUCCAAGAUGUUGUCCCCCUCCUCCUGCAACCACUCUGCUGAGAACAGCUUCAUUUUCUCACAGCUGUCAUCUUGUAGCCUCUUUGGUAAUAAGGUCUGCUCAAAGCACCUGCUCCUUCAGCAGCUUCUGUCAGAAGGCUUCAAGCAGAGCCAAGGGGCUACAUCUGCCUCACUUCCAAAUUUGCAAAUAGAUUGGCAACAACUGUCUCAGCCAUUCCUUGAGCUUUAUCAUAGAUAUCAAUAACUGUAGCAUUUUUUUUUCUGAUAUUUCUGUCUCUAACAAACCUGCUUGAAACCACAUUUGAGGUAGUCAGCAGCUUUUCCUUUGCGUAUCUGAAAUCCCCAAAUCUUCCUUGGGGUGGUGUAGGGCAAGAAGUGAUCAACUGAAAGACACUGGUCAGAGCCAAGGAACUUGGCAGAUGCUUGUGCCUUCAGGACUUUGACUCUGGUUUUGGUCCGUUUUGGCUAGCUUGAACAUAUCAGCAGCCCUAGAGUUUGUUUGUCAGGUUAGACUCCUCAACAUCUAGCUGCUUGUUUCCCUCAGUAGCCCCUCUUCCUAAGACCAAUGAAGAAUGACAUUAAUUCUGCCACCUUUGCCUGUAAGAAAGUCAAUAAAACAGGGAGAGAUCAUGCUGUUGGGAUGACAAAAGUGGUGUGACCUUUGCUCUACCACUGUUAGAGAUGGGUGUUAGCAGACUGAGGGCCUCUCCUGUGAGAGCAGCUACUGAACUCAUCAUAGUGGUUUAGAAUGGAAGUUAAAGAUGUUCUAGAUCCUCUUUACUGACAUCUACCUAGUGAAAUUACUCACCUUACCUCGCAGUGUAAGGCAGUUCCCUAUUAGUCUUGUCUUCAGGUCUCCAGCUCAGUAAAGGCUAGGGUGGACCCUGGAGGAGUCUUCACUUGAGGAGACAGCCCAAUCAUACUCAACAUCCAUCCAAUCCAAGAUUAAUUCUUGUUAAGAAUCUCUUAUUUUAAAAUGAAAAAUACACUUACUGGUGUCACCUUAUAAAAAAAGCAUAGGAAUUUAAAGGCCUCUGGCUGAAUUCGUCAGCACCCAGCUUGACUGAUGCAGGCAGGGAGCUGAAGAAAUAUAAACUGCCCAUCCUUUGUGCAGGAUGGCUUGGAAGAGGCAUGCAAAGAGGUGUUGAACCAGGGACAUUCAAACCACAUUUAAGUGAGCAGAUUUCUCCUCUUGGUGGUGCUCCUUUUUCACCUCCUUUCCCCCUACAUCUAUGCUGUGAAAUGUCACCUCCUCUUGCUAUCUC
Long non-coding RNA from Lagopus muta (rock ptarmigan), 3101 nucleotides. RefSeq lists it as uncharacterized. NCBI's taxonomy places the organism in Eukaryota, Metazoa, Chordata, Aves, Galliformes, Phasianidae. The transcript has 5 exons. The record is from RefSeq and is a predicted model, not a curated record.